CCUACGGGAGGCAGCAGUGGGGGAUAUUGCACAAUGGGGGAAACCCUGAUGCAGCGACGCCGCGUGGGCGAAGAAGUAUUUCGGUAUGUAAAGCCCUAUCAGCAGGGAAGAAGAAAUGACGGUACCUGAGUAAGAAGCACCGGCUAAAUACGUGCCAGCAGCCGCGGUAAUACGUAUGGUGCAAGCGUUAUCCGGAUUUACUGGGUGUAAAGGGAGCGCAGGCGGCACGGCAAGCCUGAUGUGAAAGCCCGGGGCCCAACCCCGGGACUGCCCUUGGAACUGCAUGGCUGGAGUGCGGGAGGGGCAGGCGGAAUUCCUGGUGUAGCGGUGAAAUGCGUAGAUAUCAGGAGGAACACCGGCGGCGAAGGCGGCCUGCUGGACCGCGACUGACGUUGAGGCUCGAAAGCGUGGGGAGCGAACAGGAUUAGAUACCCCAGUAGUC
This 442-nucleotide ribosomal RNA is filed under the name uncultured bacterium. RNAcentral describes it as "partial 16S ribosomal RNA". It matches the Rfam family "Bacterial small subunit ribosomal RNA", at positions 338 to 795 of the family's 1533-position model. The record is from RNAcentral.